RNAcentral lists this transfer RNA (72 nucleotides) under Camelus bactrianus (Bactrian camel). It matches the Rfam family "tRNA". From Rfam's summary of the family: Transfer RNA (tRNA) molecules are approximately 80 nucleotides in length. Their secondary structure includes four short double-helical elements and three loops (D, anti-codon, and T loops). Lineage: Eukaryota; Metazoa; Chordata; Mammalia; Artiodactyla; Camelidae. RNAcentral also lists the same sequence under 2 other names. The record is from Rfam by way of RNAcentral.
GAGGGUGUAGCUCAGUGGUAGAGUGCAUGCUUAGCAUGCACGAGGUCCUGGGUUCCAUCCCCAGUACCUCUG